GCAAGUCGAGCGGAAACGACAUUAUUUAUUCUUCGGAUGAUUUAAUGCGCGUCGAGCGGCGGACGGGUGAGUAAUGCCUAGGAAAUUGCCUUGAUGUGGGGGAUAACCAUUGGAAACGAUGGCUAAUACCGCAUAAUGCCUACGGGCCAAAGAGGGGGAUCUUCGGACCUCUCGCGUCAAGAUAUGCCUAGGUGGGAUUAGCUAGUUGGUGAGGUAAUGGCUCACCAAGGCGACGAUCCCUAGCUGGUCUGAGAGGAUGAUC
RNAcentral lists this ribosomal RNA (262 nucleotides) under uncultured bacterium. RNAcentral describes it as "partial 16S ribosomal RNA". It matches the Rfam family "Bacterial small subunit ribosomal RNA", at positions 57 to 305 of the family's 1533-position model. The record is from RNAcentral.